RNAcentral lists this ribosomal RNA (300 nucleotides) under uncultured Methanopyrus sp. Its description in RNAcentral is "bacterial SSU rRNA". It matches the Rfam family "Bacterial small subunit ribosomal RNA", at positions 496 to 795 of the family's 1533-position model. Lineage: Archaea; Methanobacteriati; Methanobacteriota; Methanopyri; Methanopyrales; Methanopyraceae. The record is from RNAcentral.
GCUAAAUGCGUGCCAGCGGCGUGGGUAAUCAGGUGGGGGCUAGCGUUGCUCGGAAUUACUGGGCGUAAAGCACGCGGAGGCGGAUUGUUAAGGCAGGGGUGAAAUCCUGAGGCUCAACCUCGGAAUUGCCCUUGAUACUGGCGAUCUUGAGAACGGAAGAGGGAAGUGGAAUUGCGAGUGUAGAGGUGAAAUUCGUAGAUAUUCGCAGGAACACCAGUGGCGAAGGCGACUUACUGGUCCGGUUCUGACGCUGAGGCGUGAAAGCGUGGGGAGCAAACAGGAUUAGAUACUCUAGUAGUC